AUUGAACGCUGGCGGAAUGCUUUACACAUGCAAGUCGAACGGCAGCACGGGGGCAGCCCUGGUGGCGAGUGGCGAACGGGUGAGUAAUACAUCGGAACGUGCCCGGUCGUGGGGGAUAACGUAGCGAAAGUUACGCUAAUACCGCAUACGAUCUGAGGAUGAAAGCGGGGGACCUUCGGGCCUCGCGCGAUCGGAGCGGCCGAUGUCAGAUCAGGUAGUUGGUGGGGUAAAGGCCUACCAAGCCGACGAUCUGUAGCUGGUCUGAGAGGACGACCAGCCACACUGGGACUGAGACACGGCCCAGACUCCUACGGGAGGCAGCAGUGGGGAAUUUUGGACAAUGGGCGCAAGCCUGAUCCAGCCAUUCCGCGUGCAGGACGAAGGCCUUCGGGUUGUAAACUGCUUUUGUACGGAACGAAAAGGCUCUGGCUAAUACCUGGGGCUCAUGACGGUACCGUAAGAAUAAGCACCGGCUAACUACGUG
RNAcentral lists this ribosomal RNA (484 nucleotides) under uncultured bacterium. RNAcentral describes it as "partial 16S ribosomal RNA". It matches the Rfam family "Bacterial small subunit ribosomal RNA", at positions 30 to 507 of the family's 1533-position model. The record is from RNAcentral.